GUAAGAUGGCUGAAUAUUCAAGCGUUAGGCUGUACGACCUUUUUAUAGGGGUUAAAUUCCCUUUCUUAUCA
RNAcentral lists this transfer RNA (71 nucleotides) under Centrochelys sulcata (African spurred tortoise). Its description in RNAcentral is "tRNA-Tyr". It matches the Rfam family "tRNA". From Rfam's summary of the family: Transfer RNA (tRNA) molecules are approximately 80 nucleotides in length. Their secondary structure includes four short double-helical elements and three loops (D, anti-codon, and T loops). Lineage: Eukaryota; Metazoa; Chordata; Testudines; Testudinidae. The record is from RNAcentral.